AACGGCCACGGUACCCUAACCGUGCGAAGGUAGCAUAAUCACUUGUUCUUUAAAUGGGGACUCGUAUCAACGGCAUCACGAGGGUUCUACUGUCUCCUCUCUCUAAUCAGUGAAACUAAUCUCCCCGUGAAGAAGCGAGGAUAAUACUAUAAGACGAGAAGACCCCAUGGAGCUUUAAACCCAAUUAUAUUCCUAACCCCCACAACCAUUUAAUCUCUUAGGCCCCAUAUACUUGGUUUUAGGUUGGGGCGACCACGGAGUAAAACCAAACCUCCAUGAUGUACGGAACAACCUCCUUAUCCAAGAGCCACAGCUCUAAGAAUUAGUACACUAUCAAAAAAUGACCCAUUAUUGAUCAACGAACCAAGUUACCCUGGGGAUAACAGCGCAAUCCAUUUUAAGAGCCCCUAUCGACAAAUGGGUUUACGACCUCGAUGUUGGAUCAGGAUAUCCCAGUGGUGCAGCAACUACUAAAGGUUCGUUUGUUCAACGAUCAAAA
This 499-nucleotide ribosomal RNA is filed under the name Mantidactylus femoralis. Its description in RNAcentral is "partial 16S ribosomal RNA". It matches the Rfam family "Bacterial large subunit ribosomal RNA", at positions 1926 to 2593 of the family's 2925-position model. The record is from RNAcentral. Lineage: Eukaryota; Metazoa; Chordata; Amphibia; Anura; Mantellidae.